Non-coding RNA from Lolium perenne, 2733 nucleotides. Lineage: Eukaryota; Viridiplantae; Streptophyta; Magnoliopsida; Poales; Poaceae. The record is from RefSeq and is a predicted model, not a curated record.
CUCCACCCCGCCAUGGCGCCGCCGCUCCACUGCGGCCCCCACCGUGCUGAGGGCAGCAUCGGGUGCGCCUCGACGUCCUCCAUCUCCCUGUACCUCGAAUCGCCCCAGGGGCUUCCCAAUCGCCGCCAAUUUCGUCUUCCCCGCCUCCGACCGCGAGCAAUUCGUCGACGGUGGCGAGACCGUUCGACCUCCUCUGGCUCCGUCGACCCCUCCGUUGGCUUCCUGAUCUCCGCCGCCGGCCAUGCUCCGGUGGUCCCCCGCUACCGGCGCCGCCUUCUCUUCGUCCGCGCCGACGAGGCGCGUCGAACGCGCUAGCCGCGCCGCCUGGGACGCCUCCAAUCGCCUGGAGCGUCAACGUCCGACCGUGGUCACCGCCGUCUUCGGGAACGCGCGCGGCAAGCCCCUGCGUCGAACACCCUCCGCGCCGCACAGACAAGCUUCGCCACGUCAUCCGCCACCUCGACCUCCCGGCCCCACCUGUCAGCGCCUUGGGCUAGAUCCCGCGUUGGUGAGAAAACGCGUCCCAGAUCCAGAUCCUAUUGCUUUUGCAGAAUGGCCCCUGCAUUUCUAAUUGCUAAAUCCGGCGUCCCUGCUUUUGUCGUUCGCGUGAAAACCCCCUGGAAGUUUUGCUAACCAACCCGGGGUCCUUCCCCCUUUCGAAAAUUGUUUCUGGGUCCUUCCCAUUUAAAAUAAAUCUGUUUAUUCACUUUUAAAAUAGCAAAAUCCUAAUAUGAUAAUAACUUUUAAUUGGUAACUCGAAAUUAAAAGUGUUAUAUAUGAAAAUUGAUCAGAAAAAUGUGAGGAUCAUGAAUAUGCCAUCCAUUCAUUUGUUUGCAUCCCACAUCAUGUGGUUCCGUUAUAGUUUGCAUCGCACCUAAUAAUUAAAUGCGGAGUAUUUGGGAAUUACCGGCUACGGUUCCUCGCUCCGAUUAAUACUGAAGUAGCUCACCCCUGCCAUGAUAUGCCAUGCUAAUCAAUGCUUAACUUUGACGGUAGAAAAUGCAACGCCAACCUAAUUGUUUGUCCGGGGUUCCGACUCCGAUUAAUAUGGAUAAGUUGCAUUGCAUCAUAAUUGCCAUGUCAUGCAUACCAUCUUGAUCAUGCUGGUUCCUUUUUCCGUAGUAGUAAGACUUGCACCCGUUGUUUGUCCAGCAUUUGCUUCUUCCCGGAUAGGAUCACGAAGUGGUGUUGUGAGAUACGACAAGUUUUUCUGCAGCUUUUCACAUGCGAGCCCUCUCUCUUCACCUAUUACACACUCUCCCUCGCAUUGCUAUCCUUAUGUUGCGCUUCUUUAUCGAGUCACGUGUCCUAUUCCACUUGUUUACCCUAAUAAUCCUAUAUGCAUCAUUCCUUACCCAUAGCCGUUGCUUGAUGUUUGAGCCUUGCGAGUCGUAGGCGUGUUUAGGUUCUGUUGUUUAUCUCGAUCUGUUAUCGGGAUAUGUUGGGUUGUUGGGAGGUUAUCACAUGCUAUAUCAAUUGUUGGAGAUAUUCAUGCUUUACUUUAUUGUUAACAACUAAAAUUGUAAGCAGAGGCAUCUGUGAGCCCCUUUGCGAAAGCAUCGGAACUUUGACUUGCUAAUGUCCCCUAGGACCCGAGUUCUUGUUAUCUGUUCCGAGAUUGAGCGCUCUACCCGUACGUGGGGGAGUGGGACCCCCAUCACCCACUACUUUUCAUCGAGUCUGUUUAUUGGGAGCCACAACCUUGGUUUUAUUUGCUCAUAUGCAUGAUUUACUUCUGUUGCCUUCGGGUGUUUAUAUUCUGUUCCGUACUCAUAUCAUGGAACGAUUAGCGACAGCAGGUUGUUCACACUUAGCUUAGCCGUUGACACAAACCUCUGGGUCCGUAUCGGAGUACGGCCGAACUUCAUCACGGGUAGCUUAGCGGGGUGGCUCCCCUUAAACUUUCUCUUGCAUUGGGAACGGUCUUGUUGUGAGACUCCACCUGUAGUAAGUGGGUUCGAGCAUGCGUAUGGUUACAUUUGGGCAACCCCUGCAGGGUGUACAUCUUAUCGAUAAGCCGUGUCCGCGGUUAUGGACGACUUGGAAUUGUAUGGCUUGAUCAUAGAACAACUUACACCUUAUACUUGUUGAUAAUAAUCUGAUAAUAACUUGCGUAGUAAUAUAGCAUUACUACAACCGAUACCUAAUAAAACUUGUCCACCGUUGAGUGCCUUUUACAUUGCCUCUUCGCUGUGUUGAAGGGGAUACGUGUAUUUGGCUGGGUUAUGUUUGUGUAGUAUUUUAUCUGUUACCUUAUGCGCUCUCUUAUCUUCUCUGAGUAGACGGAUGUUGUAGUGUGUCUCUAUUGGUUAUAGUUUUGCUGCCGCUAAACCUACCAUAUAGCCCCAGGUGAUAUAUGUAUUCGCCCGACGAGCAUAGCCAUUUCUAGUCUCGCUAAGUACGUGCCGGAGUUCGUUCCUUGGUACUUACUCUCGCCUUUCCUCUUUCUCUUUUGCUUCCUCCCUUUUGUCGGCAACCGAUGGCCCAACUUUGGCAGGUACGAGAUGACGACGUUAGCAAGGUUACCCUUCCGGCUUGGCCUGGGCAGGGUUAUGGACGCCACUGGUUAUCUUCAGGACUCUUAGUCCAAUUUGUAUCUUGUCCGUACUCGGACGUAUUUGAUCUUCUGUAUGAUUUGGAUCUUUGUAUUGUAUAUUUGUAUCUUGACUCGUUGGAGUCGUUGUUGUAAUAUAUGUAUCUUGUGGGCUCUAUUGUAAUCCUGUUGUAAUGUUA